CUCAAAGAGAAUGAAAGCAUAAAUUCUUGUGGCCUCUUCCAAAUCACUCUGAAAGUAAUGGAAGGACUGUUAGUUCAAGAAAUUAGAUCUCAAAAGGAUAACUACCAAUUUUAAGAGCAGCUGGAGGAGCAAAUGCUUCUUUCUGUUCAUUCUGAAGAUGAAAACCAGGUGGUAUGGAGUGUGCUAAGGCAACCACCGGCAGUGCCUGGAAGAGCAACAUAGCAUCGAUGCGAGAAGGUCAGAUGUUGGGGCAAAAUUUCCUGGGGCUUCACAUCCACGAGAUGGUGCCACAGCAUCACUGGAUGGGCAGAGGAAACAGCUUUGAGGAUGUCUACCCAGGGCUGAGGUGUCACCUCUGAAUUAAGUCCACAAAGAACAAACCAAUUCUGAAUAGGCUUUGAGAUGAGGAGGAGACAGAUGUGAGAGCACAUGUGAAAGCUGGCACUGGCUGUGGGAUAAGGAGCCACAGGCAGUCAUCAGUGCCACUGGUGAGUCUGGGAACCAUGUGUUCUUUAAGCAGUAAUAAGUCACUGGGUUUAAUAUUCAUUUUAGGUUUAAAUACCACAACAACUAAUAGCAAUAUGCAUUAUGCAAAAUUGCCACAAUAACCGCAGGCUUCAAAACAAAGAUAAACAAUGCUGUUUUCUUUUCUUUUUCUUUUUUUCUUUUUUUUUCUUUUUUUGUACAAUUACAUAAAAUAAGAUUGAUAACACCUGCUGACAUUUUCUUCCUUAAAAUUCUAGGCCAAUACUGUGCUACUAACUAGAUUUCAAAAGCAGGAGAUGAAAAUGAUAAAUUAAAAGCAAUGCCAGAUUUGUGCAUAUUUAGCUUUCCAUUUCAGAAAUCUCUGUAUUUAUCUACAUGGCCUUCUACUUUUACUAUCUUUUAUUUUGUCUCUCUCUAAUCUCAUUAUUAUAUCUUAACUCUAACCUGUUCUGCUUUUCACAGUAAAGCUUGCUGUAAUCUUUUCUGAUGACAUUAGCAUGGGAAACAUUUUUAUCAAAU
RNAcentral lists this long non-coding RNA (1005 nucleotides) under Coturnix japonica (Japanese quail). RNAcentral's name for it is "lncRNA (ENSCJPG00005003769.1)". Lineage: Eukaryota; Metazoa; Chordata; Aves; Galliformes; Phasianidae. The record is from RNAcentral.